Long non-coding RNA from Amphiprion ocellaris (clown anemonefish), 2624 nucleotides. RefSeq lists it as uncharacterized. The record is from RefSeq and is a predicted model, not a curated record. The transcript is spliced from 2 exons. Lineage: Eukaryota; Metazoa; Chordata; Actinopteri; Pomacentridae.
UUGAAAAUAAUAUUUUUACUCAUCACAUCCAAUAAUACUUUUCACUCAACAAUUACACAUUAAAAAGACAAAACAGUUGUACAUCUAAUCUAAUAUUAUAAAAUCAUGAAGAAUGACAAAAGACCAAAACUAAACUUUUAAGAUUAAUCUAAAAACAGACAAAAAAUUGGAAAAACACCACUGACACUUUUGAAUAUCUAAUUACACAGAAGACACAAUAACACAAUCCAGAAAAAAAAUAAAUUUACAUAUCUUAAAACGUUUUCUAUUCUGAAACAAAAACAUCUAGUUGUUUCUUCAAACACUUCCUCUUUCAAUGUUCUGGGUUGCACUAUGAAUUGAUUUACUAAUAACUCUUUUCUCAAAACUGCUUCCCUCAUAAACUCUACUAAUAGUUGAAAUCAUUGAUCAAACUAAUGUUACCUUCUGAUCACCACUAACUAUACUUUUCAGUGAAUACAAUCAAAGUUUCUGGACCAUUUCUAAAUUGCACACAGGUGAACGUCUCACCAAAACUCAAAUGGAUACUCUAAAUGUGAAAUCAAGACUCAUGUUCACAACUUUUAAGGCUUCGAUUAAACAGAAAUUUCUAACUAACAGAGAAGUACUAAGACACUUUGCACAUUUCAGUCCUCAGACUAUCUGACAUUUCAAACUAACAGACAACUACACAUGGACAUAGAAGACACGAGUCCUUGGACUAUCUGAAGGUUCUAGUUUACAGACAACUACUGUGAAACUUCGAAAAUUUCAGCCCUCAGACUGUGUGAAAGCUCAUCUCCUCAGGACUCAAGAGGUCUGUACACUUUGAACAUCUUGGAAAUCAGGGUUCAACCCUCCAGCACAAAGCCUAAAGACCAACCUCCUGACAAAAACUGUCGAGUCAAAACUCAAGUUAAAAAUUAAAGCUGCAAGCAACGUUGGACGGGUCAUCGCAUCCUUGCUGGUCAGCGAAUCCGCGCACGUUCACCAGGCGGCGCUGUGACCGAGAGUGCAUGUCGGCCUAUGGAUGUGAUGAGGGCUGGACUCUGAUCACACGUGUAAAAUUUCAGGCAGAUUGGAGCAUGUUUAGGGCAGUUACACAGCAGUUGAUGUUUCAUGGCAAAGGAUCCAUUUUUUGGGAGUCGCCAUGGCCACGCCCUUUGAAAUGAGAUGAACAUUUUGAUAACUUUUCAUCAGGUCGCGUGUUUGCAUGUACUGGCCAAAUUUGAGGUCUCUCGGAGUUAUCUCUGAUGAGUUAUUAAUUUUAAAAAAUUUACAGCUAAUUCAAGAUGGCCGACUUCCUGUUGGGUUUAGGGCGUGGCCAUGGUUGACUUUUUCGUGUGUCCUGAUGUGCUGCAUAUGCAUGCGAAGUUUUGUAACUGUAGAUAAAACAGUCUGGCAGUUGGCCUAAUGACAACUUUUUGCAACUUUGUAGGGGGCGCUAUGGAGCCAUUUUGCCACACACAUGCGCAACUCCCAUAAAAUAUCAAAUUUUUCGCCAGUCCCGAUGAGCAUGCCAAAUUUGACGCGUUUUGGGGUAUGAUAAGGCCGCCAAAAAUGGCAAUUUCCCGGCGGGCAAAGAAUAAUAAUAAAUAAUUCCUUGCAUUCCAAUAGGGUCUUCGCACCAUUCGGUGCUCGGACCCUAAAAAAAAAAAAAAAAACACCGUUAUGGCAGGUGCCAGAGGCUCAAUAGCAGGAAAUGAGAGAGCAGAAAGAGUUGCGUUUUAAAAUGCUUUAUUUACAGACUCAAGGAAUACAUGCGUAACAAAAACCGGAACUACAAAUCCGAGCCAGAGGUUACUAAGAAAAAACUGAACGUAAAUGCCUCUAGAGGUAAGGAGGACUAAAAACAAAACCCAAAACUACAAUUAACCCACUAUUGGUAUAACCGAGGCAGGAAAACAACUAAGGAAACCCAACUAAACAAACGCAAAACAACCAGUACUGUACUGAAACCCCAAAAGCUCUAACCUAAAAAAUCCCAAAGGUUAAGAGCUGACGAAAACAGGUUGGUAUAUUCUACAUCUGGUGACUCUAGGGCUGGAGAACCUUACUGACUCUAGACGAGAAGGAGGGGGCAUAUCCAUGGGGGAAUUCAUCUCCUCUUGGUUCUUCCUAGGAGCCUCCUUUCAAUAAGCGGACAUGAGGAUGGUAGGUAUGGCGUCCCAAGCGAGGCAGGAGGAGAGGGAGGUAAGACGGAUCCAGACACUCCAGGUGUUGUGGUUGAUGUUAUCCUGGUGGUUCUGACGACGGCCAAUUUCCUCAGUCCAACAGAAUCCACGGAGAAGAACUGAGGACCAGAUGGCAAACCAGUGAACCGGAGGAAUCAGGAACCAACAGCAGGCAGAGAGGCCCAGCUGGAGUCCAGACCUGAAUCCCACUGGGAACCUGUGGAGGAACUGAAAACCAGAGUGACAAUGAGGAAGACUUCCAGCCUCAAAGACCUGGAGAACCUGCUGGAGACAUGCAAGAAGCUUGUUAGCGCUUAGAAAAGAUGCGACAUUGGCAAAUAAAGCAUCCACCACUGCUUACUGUAUAACAUUUAUAGAUUAGAAUAAUCUCUAAAAUAUAUUGUUUUACUAGAAAAGAUUAAUCUUUUAAUAGAUUCAUCUAUUCUAUUAAAAAAAAUGCUACAGAUGUUA